AUACUGGCCAGAGACCGAUAGCGCACAAGUAGAGUGAUCGAAAGAUGAAAAGCACUUUGGAAAGAGAGUUAAAAAGCACGUGAAAUUGUUGGAAGGGAAGCGCUUGCAGCCAGACUUGCCUGUAGUUGCUCAUCCGGGUUUUUACCCGGUGCACUCUUCUACGGGCAGGCCAGCAUCAGUUUGGGCGGUUGGAUAAAGGUCUCUGUCAUGUACCUCCCCUCGGGGAGAUCUUAUAGGGGAGGCGACAUGCAACCAGCCUGGACUGAGGUCCGCGCAUCUGCUAGGAUGCUGGCGUAAUGGCUGUAAGCGGCCCGUCUUGAAACACGGACC
This 330-nucleotide ribosomal RNA is filed under the name uncultured fungus. RNAcentral describes it as "LSU rRNA". It matches the Rfam family "Eukaryotic large subunit ribosomal RNA", at positions 320 to 667 of the family's 3401-position model. The record is from RNAcentral. Lineage: Eukaryota; Fungi.